AUAUAGAUUUUCAUUUCUCCACCCGAGGAGUUUGGGAGAUUCGAGAAAAUAGUGAAAGCUUUAUUUAUUUUUUUAAAAUCUCUAGAAUAAAUAUUUAAUAAGUACAAACAUCUAAUUAGAAACUGUUUCACGUCGAGUUCCAAUCCUUUAACCUGUAUUCUUGACACAAAUAGAUUAACUGGAAUGAACUAUAAAGAUUGACUUCAAAAUUUGAGAAUCAUUCUCAGUUUCGAGAAACU
RNAcentral lists this long non-coding RNA (239 nucleotides) under Elaeis guineensis (African oil palm). RNAcentral describes it as "long non-coding RNA (EGUI_LNC066672)". Lineage: Eukaryota; Viridiplantae; Streptophyta; Magnoliopsida; Arecales; Arecaceae. The record is from RNAcentral.